AUUGAACGCUGGCGGCAGGCCUAACACAUGCAAGUCGAGCGGAUGAAGGGAGCUUGCUCCUGGAUUCAGCUGCGGACGGGUGAGUAAUGCCUAGGAAUCUGCCUGGUAUUGGGGGAUAACGUCCGGAAACGGGCGCUAAUACCGCAUACGUCCUGAGGGAGAAAGUGGUGGAUCUUCGGACCUCACGCUAUCAGAUGAGCCUAGUUCGGAUUAGCUAGUUGGUGGGGUAAAGGCCUACCAAGGCGACGAUCCGUAACUGGUCUGAGAGGAUGAUCAGUCACACUGGAACUGAGACACGGUCCAGACUCCUACGGGAGGCAGCAGUGGGGAAUAUUGGACAAUGGGCGAAAGCCUGAUCCAGCCAUGCCGCGUGCGUGAAGAAGGUCUUCGGAUUGUAAAGCACUUUAAGUUGGGAGGAAGGGCAGUAAGUUAAUCCCUUGCUGUUUUGACGUUACCAACAGAAUAAGCACCGGCUAACUUCGUG
Molecule: ribosomal RNA, 484 nt
Filed under: uncultured bacterium
Lineage: Bacteria
Description: partial 16S ribosomal RNA
Rfam family: Bacterial small subunit ribosomal RNA
Source: RNAcentral